This is a long non-coding RNA of Vespula vulgaris, 12379 nucleotides long. RefSeq lists it as uncharacterized. The transcript has 5 exons. NCBI's taxonomy places the organism in Eukaryota, Metazoa, Arthropoda, Insecta, Hymenoptera, Vespidae. The record is from RefSeq and is a predicted model, not a curated record.
AUCUACUUUCCUUCCUUGUCAGUGGUCUAGUCGUCAUCUUAACACAGAGACAAGUGCACACGGGUUCGACGCUCCGCAAAAUUACAGGUUUCCAAGAAUUCUACGUACCGACAGACGAAACAUCCCGGCUUUCUUUUUCUACAUAUACUUUGUCCUUCGUCCUAUGUAUAAGCUCAAAUAAAAAAAGAAUCAUCCUCUUCAUCGUUACGGGCAGGAUGUUGCUCAUCAUGCAAAGAACCAGUUAACAUUCGGUUCAAAUAAAAAAAAGAAUCAUCCUUUUCAUCAUCCUGGGGUAGGAUGCCCAUCCUGCAAGCAUCAACGAAGAUUUUAAAACAUCAUGGCAACCGUGCGCGAAGCAAUGAAUGAAUCGAGUGUUGUAUCGCUAAAAUAAAAACAAAAGAAUCGCGAAAUAGAAGCAGUGCUUGCUCGUUUGUUUAAAUUAUACCGCGUUUCGCGAUUUAAAUUAAUUUUAAGUGUUUUUGUGUUGACUGCGUGCAAUGCAGUCAGUUAUAGAGUCAGUGUUUGCUCGUACAAAGUGAGUUUAAUAGUCAUGUAGACUGUACUUAUGAAAGAUAGCAGAGUUUCGCGAAGUAAAUUCAGUGACCGUUCGUUAAUAAAUAUCUAUCGCGAAUUAGAGUCAGUGCAUCACUGAAGAGGAUCUUGACCAACUUCGGUGUCUACCUACCUCAUUUUCAACCAGCUACAUAUCAUCCAACCUCAAUGUCAACCUAAAUCGCGGACGAGUGUUUUGGAGCCACCGUAGAACUUCUUAAGUAGUAAGUGAACAAAUUUUAAGUCCCUCCAGUACUCAAUCAUGUCGAAGACGAAAGGUCCGAAUCGGCACGAGUUACUGGUUGUAAUUUUUUAAAUAAAUUAUUGACAAGCAUGACCGUGAGUAACUCCUCUUUUGGACUUACUCGCGAGUGGUAUAUUUUUAAUCGCCGAUGUGUUUUCAUUGCUUAUAUCUAUUUUAUUAGUUUAGGAUAGGGUCUUCUUGUUUCAUAGAUUGAAUUAAUUAAUAGUUCAAUUAAUAAGCACUUUUUUAUUUGUAUUUGCUCGCGAUAUUAGCAGUGAAAUUGGAUAUCAAUUUUUUCGAUUUCGUCAAAAAAGCAUGUAAUAUACGUUUUAUGCAUUGCUUCGUACUUGGUCUAUUUAAUCGCGAUUUAUCUCGAUGUAUCGAUGUAGAUGAACAAGAAAAAACGAACAGAAGACAAGCGCGACAGAUAGAUUCUGGAAAAUGAACAGUAGUUCAUGAUUUAACUUUUUAAUUAGAACAGCCACUUAGAAGGAAUUGUCCGAGGUUUUUUGAUUAUUCUUUCAUACAAAAUUAAAUAAAUAUUUAAUUAAUUUUUUUGAUAAAAGAAGUCUCAAUAAAGUCAUUGUUUUUGAAAGAAAAAAGUCGAGUAGAAUCAUUGCUAAUAAAAAACAAAGAGACUUGUAGAUUCAUAGCCCGUAGGAUCUAGAAUAGGUUAAUAAAUUUUUAGAUCAGGGUUUUCAGCUUUUAACAAACUAAUUCCUGUUUCUUCCUCCCCUCCCCCCAUGUUUUCUGCAUUCUCCUCAAUGCGUGUUCCCAGGUGUUACUCGUAUGAGUGAGAAAUUGUUAGUAUGGGUUUAAUUUUAAGUUUUCCUAUAUUGGUGACUGUCAUAGCGUUAGUGAUUGCGCACGAUAUACCUUGCAUCUGUGUGUUCGUGGUAGGUGGUGCAUUGUAUAUCGUUUCGUGAUUAUUUAUAAAUAAAUACGAAUAAAACAAAUAUACUAAUAGAUUAUUAUUUAAAAUACUAUACUAAUAUAUUACAAUUCAUAUCGUUUUGCAUAGUAAAGUCAGCAUAUAUUGUAAGUGAAUUGAAAUCAUAUAUUCAAUGAAAUUAUUCAAUAUCAAUAUAGUGAAUGAAAGCAUAUAUUGAAAGGGAAAUAUUCGUAAGUGAACGUCAGAAAAAUGAAAUUUCGAACGAAACACACCUCAGCGGAAGAACGAAACACACCUAAGGCCCACACCCGAGGGCCCCUCCCAAGGGUCCCACCCGAUAGAAGAUAGAGUACUUGAUCAACAAUUUAACCAAAAAUUAAAAAUAAUUAUUUUAAGUAUAAUAUGCAGCCAUUCGCCCGGUAGUACUUGCGCUAUAUAAUUAUUUAAAUUUCUAUAUAUAAUUUAGUUAUAAACUUUUGAUGUAAUUUAGAUACAAUUUCAAUAUAUUGCAAGUACUACCGACCCAGGUCCCACCGCUUGGAGGUUGCUACAUCUGGGGACCCACGGGCUAACGGUGACUCUACUCUAAAGUUCGCGUGACCGGCGUGAUCAAAUAAUCGACGUUCCAUAAAACGAAGUCCCCAGUAGGACUUUUAAUCGCGCCCGAACACUCCCGGGAGUGUUAGAAGAACGGUGACUCUACUUUAAAUUCGCGUUCGCGGCGUUCUAUGCACUAACCAAGAAAUCAGGCGGCUAACUGAAGGAGGAUCAGCCCACUCUUACGGAUAGCAAACCACACUACUCGGCAGCACAUAAACCGACUCACUAGCACGACCGGUCAUUUAUUCGUUUUUAGCAAUCAAACGUAGUCCAUGUCGGUAGGACUUUUAAUCGCGCCCGAACACUCCCGGGAGUGUUAGAAGAACGGUGACUCUACUUUAAAUUCGCGUUCGCGGCGUUCUAUGCACUAACCAAGAAAUCAGGCGGCUAACUGGCGGAGGAUCAGUCCACUCUUACGGAUAGCAAACCACACUACUCGGCAGCACAUAAACCGACUCACUAGCACGACCGGUCAUUUAUUCGUUUUUAGCAACCAAACGUAGUCCAUGUCGGUAGGACUUUUAAUCGCGCCCGAACACUCCCGGGAGUGUUAGAAGAACGGUGACUCUACUUUAAAUUCGCGUUCGCGGCGUUCUAUGCACUAACCAAGAAAUCAGGCGGCUAACUGGCGGAGGAUCAGUCCACUCUUACGGAUAGCAAACCACACUACUCGGCAGCACAUAAACCGAUUCACUAGCACGACCGGUCAUUUAUUCGUUUUAAGCAACCAAACGUAGUCCAUGUCGGUAGGACUUUUAAUCGCGCCCGAACACUCCCGGGAGUGUUAAAAGAACGGUGACUCUACUUUAAAUUCGCGUUCGCGGCGUUCUAUGCACCAACCAAGAAAUCAGGCGGCUAACUGGCGGAGGAUCAGUCCACUCUUACGGAUAGCAAACCACACUACUCGGCAGCACAUAAACCGACUCACUAGCACGACCGGUCAUUUAUUCGUUUUUAGCAAUCAAACGUAGUCCAUGUCGGUAGGACUUUUAAUCGCGCCCGAACACUCCCGGGAGUGUUAGAAGAACGGUGACUCUACUUUAAAUUCGCGUUCGCGGCGUUCUAUGCACUAACCAAGAAAUCAGGCGGCUAACUGGCGGAGGAUCAGUCCACUCUUACGGAUAGCAAACCACACUACUCGGCAGCACAUAAACCGACUCACUAGCACGACCGGUCAUUUAUUCGUUUUUAGCAAUCAAACGUAGUCCAUGUCGGUAGGACUUUUAAUCGCGCCCGAACACUCCCGGGAGUGUUAGAAGAACGGUGACUCUACUUUAAAUUCGCGUUCGCGGCGUUCUAUGCACUAAUCAAGAAAUCAGGCGGCUAACUGGCGGAGGGUGAGUCCACUCUUACGGAUAGCAAACCACAGUACUCGGCAGCACAUAAACCGACUCACUAGCACGACCGGUCAUUUAUUCGUUUUUAGCAAUCAAACGUAGUCCAUGUCGGUAGGACUUUUAAUCGCGCCCGAACACUCCCGGGAGUGUUAAAAGAACGGUGACUCUACUUUAAAUUCGCGUUCGUGGCGUUCUAUGCACUAAUCAAGAAAUCAGGCGGCUAACUGGCGGAGGGUGAGUCCACUCUUACGGAUAGCAAACCACAGUACUCGGCAGCACAUAAACCGACUCACUAGCACGACCGGUCAGUUAUUCGUUUUUAGCAAUCAAACGUAGUCCAUGUCGGUAGGACUUUUAAUCGCGCCCGAACACUCCCGGGAGUGUUAGAAGAACGGUGACUCUACUUUAAAUUCGCGUUCGCGGCGUUCUAUGGACUAACCAAGAAAUCAGGCGGCUAACUGGCGGAGGAUCAGUCCACUCUUACGGAUAGCAAACCACACUACUCGGCAGCACAUAAACCGACUCACUAGCACGACCGGUCAUUUAUUCGUUUUUAGCAAUCAAACGUAGUCCAUGUCGGUAGGACUUUUAAUCGCGCCCGAACACUCCCGGGAGUGUUAGAAGAACGGUGACUCUACUUUAAAUUCGCGUUCGCGGCGUUCUAUGCACCAACCAAGAAAUCAGGCGGCUAACUGGCGGAGGAUCAGUCCACUCUUACGGAUAGCAAACCACACUACUCGGCAGCACAUAAACCGACUCACUAGCACGACCGGUCAUUUAUUCGUUUUUAGCAAUCAAACGUAGUCCAUGUCGGCAGGACUUUUAAUCGCGCCCGAACACUCCCGGGAGUGUUAGAAGAACGGUGACUCUACUUUAAAUUCGCGUUCGCGGCGUUCUAUGCACCAACCAAGAAAUCAGGCGGCUAACUGGCGGAGGAUCAGUCCACUCUUACGGAUAGCAAACCACACUACUCGGCAGCACAUAAACCGACUCACUAGCACGACCGGUCAUUUAUUCGUUUUUAGCAAUCAAACGUAGUCCAUGUCGGCAGGACUUUUAAUCGCGCCCGAACACUCCCGGGAGUGUUAGAAGAACGGUGACUCUACUUUAAAUUCGCGUUCGCGGCGUUCUAUGCACUAACCAAGAAAUCAGGCGGCUAAUUGGAGGAGGCUGAGUCCACUCUUACGGAUAGCAAACCACACUACUCGGCAGCACAUAAACCGACUCACUAGCACGACCGGUCAUUUAUUCGUUUUUGCAAUCAAACGUAGUCCAUAUCGGUAGGACUUUUAUUCGCGCCCGAGAACACCACGUCUCUGCCCGCCGACACAGGCGUGAGAGUUCUUCCUAUCUUACCCGUAUUCGCGUCUAGCAAUCGAUUAUGAAACGAACAUUUCGACGAUUUAUGGGAUCACCCUCGCCGAUAUGUCGAAGUCCAUGAACUGGAGGAGAAGCAGAAGAGAAAGAGAAGAAAAGAAAGCCGGGACAUGCGCGCAUGUGAGGGGGAUAGAAUUCGGAAGAGAAAGAAGAAGGCAUAUCCGGAAAGUAACACGUGCACGUGUGAGAACGAUGAAAGGGAAAAGAAAAGAUGGACAUAGAGUGUAGCUACACUUGACCAAAACCGGGGUACGAAAAUCGAGCUCGAUUUUUCGAUACUGAAAGGGGGAUACCCGCACAGAAGCCCACACCCACGAGCCCAACUCAUAGGUCCCACCCGAAAGAAAUUAGAAUAAUGAACCUUGAGUUUUUAUUUCCGAGUAUAGGAAAGAUGUAUGAAACAAUGUAAAAUGCACGAAGUUCGAUGUUUAAUUGGAAUUUCAUAGAAAAGAUUUUGGAAAAAUCUUGAAGAACGCAGCCAUUCGCAAGGUUAUACUUGCAGCCUACAAGAUUUCGACAUAUCACAAGUACUUCCGACCCAGGUUCCACCGCGUGGAGGUUGCUGCUUCUGGAGACCCACGGACUAACGGUGGCUCUACUCUUUACUACUUUUACUACUAUCAAGAAAGCAAAGCAACGAGGCGAUCUCCACUCCCAACGAAUUCCAGAUCUCCAAAUGCUAAAAUUGCAGCCCCAUGCGUCUCCGAAUUUGGGAACCGACUUACGCAUAGCUCAACUAUCCAACAUCGAAAGCUUCGAUCACCAUAUGAGCACAACCGGUCUUGCUUUCGCGACAAACGCCGGAACCCAAAAUUGAAUCUACCGCAGUCACGAUACUUACGCGAGCAUUCCAGAAAUACUCACGCGAAUAUGUUGAAUACAUUAGAGCCAAUUUAGGACUUAAUCGCGCCCGAGAACACCAACGCCUUUGCCAGCCGACGUAAGCGAGUGUUCUUCUAUCUUGCCCGAACGGGAUAAAAGAAAUCCUUCCACGCCUGAGGUAGAAAGAUUCUUUAAACACCCGUAUAAAAAUCUGAGUCCCUCGAUGGUCCUUGGGUGACGCAACGAUUGCUGCACCUGGAAAUAAACGGACUAACGAGGAUUCUAUUCUAAAAUCCACGACCCGAGAUGCUUUUCCGCUUCGGGAGCUUCGAGCUUCUCAGCAAACUGGAGAUGUAUAAAACCCCGCUUACAGAUUGCUCCACCGUCCACACCGUCGGCUUCAGACAUCUCGAGACACGACCGGUCGUGUCUACAUUUCGAUUUCAAAAAUCAAAACGUAGUCCUCGGUAGGACUAAAUCUCGCGAUCGCGAACACCCAUACGCGUGCCGGCCGUCACGCGCGUGAGUGUUUUCCCUAUCAUUCGCGUACAGAAGCAAGGAGAUAUACCUUUUAUGCAUAUAAUAAAGAUUAUAUGCAGAGAGGUUCCUUUAACUUCCGUGUAAAAAUCCCACGACGAUAGGUCCAGCGAUCACCUAACUUGAAACAGAAAAAGGACAACAGAAUAUAUUACAUAUAUUUAAAAGAAUAUAUUUAUAUAUAUAGUAAAAUAUGAGUAAAAAUUAAAAAGAUAACACAAAUUAAAUCUAAAAGCAAAAAUUAAAAAGGUAAUAAAAAAUAAAUAUAAGAGCAGAAAUUAUAUGUAAUAUUAUAUGCAAAAAGACAUUUAUAUUCAAAAAGAUCCCUGUAAUAAUUUAAUUUCACGAUGAUCCAGUCGUCGAUGAUCGCACGUUCGAUGAUCGUUCGUUCGAUGAUCUAACCUGAAACAGAAAAAGAGUAAAAAAAAAGUGGAGAAAAAAAUAAAAAGAAGAAAGGAAAAAAAACGCAGUAGAGAAAAAUAGAAAAAGAAACGUGGAGUAUUUGCGUAAGUGAACGUGAGAAAAAUAGAAUUCCGAACGAUUAUUUUGCAUCUUGAAAAUCAUUUCGGUCGAGGAAGAUCAGAGUACCAUUAUUGAGUUCGAUUUUUCCCUAGUGAAAGAACCAUACCCGCCUAAGGCCCACACCCGAGGGCCCCUCCCAAGGGUCCCACCCGAUAGAAGAUAGAGAACUUGAUCAACAAUUUAACCAAAAAUUAAAAAUAAUUGUUUUAAGCUUAAUAUGCAGCCAUUCGCCCGGUAGUACUUGCGCUAUAUAAUUAUUUAAAUUUCUAUAUAUAAUUUAGUUAUAAACUUUUGAUGUAAUUUAGAUACAAUUUCAAUAUAUUGCAAGUACUACCGACCCAGGUCCCACCGCUUGGAGGUUGCUACAUCUGGGGACCCACGGGCUAACGGUGACUCUACUCUAAAGUUCGCGUGACCGGCGUGAUCAAAUAAUCGACGUUCCAUAAAACGAAGUCCCCGGUAGGACUUUUAAUCGCGCCCGAACACUCCCGGGAGUGUUAGAAGAACGGUGACUCUACUUUAAAUUCGCGUUCGCGGCGUUCUAUGCACUAACCAAGAAAUCAGGCGGCUAACUGAAGGAGGAUCAGCCCACUCUUACGGAUAGCAAACCACACUACUCGGCAGCACAUAAACCGACUCACUAGCACGACGGGUCAUUUAUUCGUUUUUAACAAUAAAACGUAGUCCAUGUCGGUAGGACUUUUAAUCGCGCCCGAACACUCCCGGGAGUGUUAGAAGAACGGUGACUCUACUUUAAAUUCGCGUUCGCGGCGUUCUAUGCACUAACCAAGAAAUCAGGCGGCUAACUGGCGGAGGAUCAGUCCACUCUUACGGAUAGCAAACCACACUACUCGGCAGCACAUAAACCGACUCACUAGCACGACCGGUCAUUUAUUCGUUUUUAGCAAUCAAACGUAGUCCAUGUCGGUAGGACUUUUAAUCGCGCCCGAACACUCCCGGGAGUGUUAGAAGAACGGUGACUCUACUUUAAAUUCGCGUUCGCGGCGUUCUAUGGACUAACCAAGAAAUCAGGCGGCUAACUGGCGGAGGAUCAGUCCACUCUUACGGAUAGCAAACCACACUACUCGGCAGCACAUAAACCGACUCACUAGCACGACCGGUCAUUUAUUCGUUUUUAGCAAUCAAACGUAGUCCAUGUCGGUAGGACUUUUUAAUCGCGCCCGAACACUCCCGGGAGUGUUAGAAGAACGGUGACUCUACUUUAAAUUCGCGUUCGCGGCGUUCUAUGCACUAAUCAAGAAAUCAGGCGGCUAACUGGCGGAGGGUGAGUCCACUCUUACGGAUAGCAAACCACAGUACUCGGCAGCACAUAAACCGACUCACUAGCACGACCGGUCAUUUAUUCGUUUUUAGCAAUCAAACGUAGUCCAUGUCGGUAGGACUUUUAAUCGCGCCCGAACACUCCCGGGAGUGUUAGAAGAACGGUGACUCUACUUUAAAUUCGCGUUCGCGGCGUUCUAUGCACUAAUCAAGAAAUCAGGCGGCUAACUGGCGGAGGGUGAGUCCACUCUUACGGAUAGCAAACCACAGUACUCGGCAGCACAUAAACCGACUCACUAGCACGACCGGUCAUUUAUUCGUUUUUAGCAAUCAAACGUAGUCCAUGUCGGUAGGACUUUUAAUCGCGCCCGAACACUCCCGGGAGUGUUAGAAGAACGGUGACUCUACUUUAAAUUCGCGUUCGCGGCGUUCUAUGCACUAAUCAAGAAAUCAGGCGGCUAACUGGCGGAGGAUCAGUCCACUCUUACGGAUAGCAAACCACACUACUCGGCAGCACAUAAACCGACUCACUAGCACGACCGGUCAUUUAUUCGUUUUUAGCAAUCAAACGUAGUCCAUGUCGGUAGGACUUUUAAUCGCGCCCGAACACUCCCGGGAGUGUUAGAAGAACGGUGACUCUACUUUAAAUUCGCGUUCGCGGCGUUCUAUGCACUAAUCAAGAAAUCAGGCGGCUAACUGGCGGAGGAUCAGUCCACUCUUACGGAUAGCAAACCACACUACUCGGCAGCACAUAAACCGACUCACUAGCACGACCGGUCAUUUAUUCGUUUUUAGCAAUCAAACGUAGUCCAUGUCGGUAGGACUUUUAAUCGCGCCCGAACACUCCCGGGAGUGUUAGAAGAACGGUGACUCUACUUUAAAUUCGCGUUCGCGGCGUUCUAUGCACCAACCAAGAAAUCAGGCGGCUAACUGGCGGAGGAUCAGUCCACUCUUACGGAUAGCAAACCACACUACUCGGCAGCACAUAAACCGACUCACUAGCACGACCGGUCAUUUAUUCGUUUUUAGCAAUCAAACGUAGUCCAUGUCGGUAGGACUUUUAAUCGCGCCCGAACACUCCCGGGAGUGUUAGAAGAACGGUGACUCUACUUUAAAUUCGCGUUCGCGGCGUUCUAUGCACUAACCAAGAAAUCAGGCGGCUAAUUGGAGGAGGCUGAGUCCACUCUUACGGAUAGCAAACCACACUACUCGGCAGCACAUAAACCGACUCACUAGCACGACCGGUCAUUUAUUCGUUUUUGCAAUCAAACGUAGUCCAUAUCGGUAGGACUUUUAUUCGCGCCCGAGAACACCACGUCUCUGCCCGCCGACACAGGCGUGAGAGUUCUUCCUAUCUUACCCGUAUUCGCGUCUAGCAAUCGAUUAUGAAACGAACAUUUCGACGAUUUAUGGGAUCACCCUCGCCGAUAUGUCGAAGUCCAUGAACUGGAGGAGAAGCAGAAGAGAAAGAGAAGAAAAGAAAGCCGGGACAUGCGCGCAUGUGAGGGGGAUAGAAUUCGGAAGAGAAAGAAGAAGGCAUAUCCGGAAAGUAACACGUGCACGUGUGAGAACGAUGAAAGGGAAAAGAAAAGAUGGACAUAGAGUGUAGCUACACUUGACCAAAACCGGGGUACGAAAAUCGAGCUCGAUUUUUCGAUACUGAAAGGGGGAUACCCGCACAGAAGCCCACACCCAUGAGCCCAACUCAUAGGUCCCACCCGAAAGAAAUUAGAAUAAUGAACCUUGAGUUUUUAUUUCCGAGUAUAGGAAAGAUGUAUGAAACAAUGUAAAAUGCACGAAGUUCGAUGUUUAAUUGGAAUUUCAUAGAAAAGAUUUUGGAAAAAUCUUGAAGAACGCAGCCAUUCGCAAGGUUAUACUUGCAGCCUACAAGAUUUCGACAUAUCACAAGUACUUCCGACCCAGGUUCCACCGCGUGGAGGUUGCUGCUUCUGGAGACCCACGGACUAACGGUGGCUCUACUCUUUACUACUUUUACUACUAUCAAGAAAGCAAAGCAACGAGGCGAUCUCCACUCCGAACGAAUUCAAGAUCUCCAAAUGCUAAAAUUGCAGCCCCAUGCGUCUCCGCAUUUGGGAACCGACUUACGCAUAGCUCAACUAUCCAACAUCGAAAGCUUCGAUCACCACUUGAGCACAACCGGUCUUGCUUUCGCGACAAACGCCGGAACCCAAAAUUGAAUCUACCGCAGUCACGAUACUUACGCGAGCAUUCCAGAAACACUCACGCGAAUAUGUUGAAUACAUUAGAGCCAAUUUAGGACUUAAUCGCGACCGAGAACACCAACGCCUUUGCCAGCCGACGUAAGCGAGUGUUCUUCUAUCUUGCCCGAACGGGAUAAAAGAAAUCCUUCCACGCCUGAGGUAGAAAGAUUCUUUAAACACCCGUAUAAAAAUCUGAGUCCCUCGAUGGUCCUUGGGUGACGCAACGAUUGCUGCACCUGGAAAUAAACGGACUAACGAGGAUUCUAUUCUAAAAUCCACGACCCGAGAUGCUUUUCCGCUUCGGGAGCUUCGAGCUUCUCAGCAAACUGGAGAUGUAUAAAACCCCGCUUACAGAUUGCUCCACCGUCCACACCGUCGGCUUCAGACAUCUCGAGACACGACCGGUCGUGUCUACAUUUCGAUUUCAAAAAUCAAAACGUAGUCCUCGGUAGGACUAAAUCUCGCGAUCGCGAACACCCAUACGCGUGCCGGCCGUCACGCGCGUGAGUGUUUUCCCUAUCAUUCGCGUACAGAAGCAAGGAGAUAUACCUUUUAUGCAUAUAAUAAAGAUUAUAUGCAGAGAGGUUCCUUUAACUUCCGUGUAAAAAUCCCACGACGAUAGGUCCAGCGAUCACCUAACUUGAAACAGAAAAAGGACAACAGAAUAUAUUACAUAUAUUUAAAAGAAUAUAUUUAUAUAUAUAGUAAAAUAUGAGUAAAAAUUAAAAAGAUAACACAAAUUAAAUCUAAAAGCAAAAAUUAAAAAGGUAAUAAAAAAUAAAUAUAAGAGCAGAAAUUAUAUGUAAUAUUAUAUGCAAAAAGACAUUUAUAUUCAAAAAGAUCCCUGUAAUAAUUUAAUUUCACGAUGAUCCAGUCGUCGAUGAUCGCACGUUCGAUGAUCGUUCGUUCGAUGAUCUAACCUGAAACAGAAAAAGAGUAAAAAAAAAGUGGAGAAAAAAAUAAAAAGAAGAAAGGAAAAAAAACGCAGUAGAGAAAAAUAGAAAAAGAAACGUGGAGUAUUUGCGUAAGUGAACGUGAGAAAAAUAGAAUUCCGAACGAUUAUUUUGCAUCUUGAAAAUCAUUUCGGUCGAGGAAGAUCAGAGUACCAUUAUUGAGUUCGAUUUUUCCCUAGUGAAAGAACCAUACCCGCCUAAGGCCCACACCCGAGGGCCCCUCCCAAGGGUCCCACCCGAUAGAAGAUAGAGAACUUGAUCAACAAUUUAACCAAAAAUUAAAAAUAAUUGUUUUAAGCUUAAUAUGCAGCCAUUCGCCCGGUAGUACUUGCGCUAUAUAAUUAUUUAAAUUUCUAUAUAUAAUUUAGUUAUAAACUUUUGAUGUAAUUUAGAUACAAUUUCAAUAUAUUGCAAGUACUACCGACCCAGGUCCCACCGCUUGGAGGUUGCUACAUCUGGGGACCCACGGGCUAACGGUGACUCUACUCUAAAGUUCGCGUGACCGGCGUGAUCAAAUAAUCGACGUUCCAUAAAACGAAGUCCCCGGUAGGACUUUUAAUCGCGCCCGAACACUCCCGGGAGUGUUAGAAGAACGGUGACUCUACUUUAAAUUCGCGUUCGCGGCGUUCUAUGCACUAACCAAGAAAUCAGGCGGCUAACUGAAGGAGGAUCAGCCCACUCUUACGGAUAGCAAACCACACUACUCGGCAGCACAUAAACCGACUCACUAGCACGACGGGUCAUUUAUUCGUUUUUAACAAUAAAACGUAGUCCAUGUCGGUAGGACUUUUAAUCGCGCCCGAACACUCCCGGGAGUGUUAGAAGAACGGUGACUCUACUUUAAAUUCGCGUUCGCGGCGUUCUAUGCACUAACCAAGAAAUCAGGCGGCUAACUGGCGGAGGAUCAGUCCACUCUUACGGAUAGCAAACCACACUACUCGGCAGCACAUAAACCGACUCACUAGCACGACCGGUCAUUUAUUCGUUUUUAGCAAUCAAACGUAGUCCAUGUCGGUAGGACUUUUAAUCGCGCCCGAACA